AUUGAACGCUGGCGGCAGGCUUAACACAUGCAAGUCGAGCGGAAACGAUGGUAGCUUGCUACCAGGCGUCGAGCGGCGGACGGGUGAGUAAUACUUAGGAAUCUACCUAGUAGUGGGGGAUAGCACGGGGAAACUCGUAUUAAUACCGCAUACGACCUACGGGAGAAAGGGGGCAGUUUACUGCUCUCGCUAUUAGAUGAGCCUAAGUCGGAUUAGCUAGAUGGUGGGGUAAAGGCCUACCAUGGCGACGAUCUGUAGCUGGUCUGAGAGGAUGAUCAGCCACACCGGGACUGAGACACGGCCCGGACUCCUACGGGAGGCAGCAGUGGGGAAUAUUGGACAAUGGGGGAAACCCUGAUCCAGCCAUGCCGCGUGUGUGAAGAAGGCCUUUUGGUUGUAAAGCACUUUAAGCAGUGAAGAAGACUCCGUGGUUAAUACCCACGGACGAUGACAUUAGCUGCAGAAUAAGCACCGGCUAACUCUGUGCCAGCAGCCGCGGUAAUACAGAGGGUGCAAGCGUUAAUCGGAAUUACUGGGCGUAAAGGGAGCGUAGGUGGCUCUAUAAGUCAGAUGUGAAAUCCCCGGGCUUAACCUGGGAACUGCAUCUGAAACUGUAGAGCUAGAGUAUGUGAGAGGGAGGUAGAAUUUCAGGUGUAGCGGUGAAAUGCGUAGAGAUCUGAAGGAAUACCGAUGGCGAAGGCAGCCUCCUGGCAUAAUACUGACACUGAGGCUCGAAAGCGUGGGUAGCAAACAGG
Molecule: ribosomal RNA, 755 nt
Filed under: uncultured bacterium
Lineage: Bacteria
Description: bacterial SSU rRNA
Rfam family: Bacterial small subunit ribosomal RNA
Source: RNAcentral